UGGAUCCAGACUUUGAUCAUGGCUCAGGAUGAACGCCAGCUACAGGCCUAACACAUGCAAGUCGAGGGGAAACGGUAGAGAAAGCUUGCUUUUUCUAGGCGUCGACCGGCGCACGGGUGAGUAACGCGUAUCCAACCUGCCCAUCACUUGGGGAUAACCUUGCGAAAGUAAGACUAAUACCCAAUGAUGUCUCAAGAAGACAUCUGAAUGAGAUUAAAGAUUUAUCGGUGAUGGAUGGGGAUGCGUCUGAUUAGCUUGUUGGCGGGGUAACGGCCCACCAAGGCGACGAUCAGUAGGGGUUCUGAGAGGAAGGUCCCCCACAUUGGAACUGAGACACGGUCCAAACUCCUACGGGAGGCAGCAGUGAGGAGUAUUGGUCAAUGGGCGAGAGCCUGAACCAGCCAAGUAGCGUGCAGGAUGACGGCCCUAUGGGUUGUAAACUGCUUUUAUAAGGGAAUAAAGUGAGUCUCGUGAGGCUUUUUGCAUGUACCUUAUGAAUAAGGACCGGCUAAUUCCGUGCCAGCAGCCGCGGUAAUACGGAGGGUCCGGGCGUUAUCCGGAUUUAUUGGGUUUAAAGGGAGCGUAGGCCGGAGAUUAAGCGUGUUGUGAAAUGUAGAUACUCAACAUCUGCACUGCAGCGCGAACUGGUUUCCCUGAGUACGCACAAAGUGGGCGGAAUUCGUGGUGUAGCGGUGAAAUGCUUAGAUAUCACGAAGAACUCCGAUUGCGAAGGCAGCUCACUGGAGCGCAACUGACGCUGAAGCUCGAAAGUGCGGGUAUCGAACAGGAUUAGAUACCCUGGUAGUCCGCACGGUAAACGAUGGAUGCCCGCUGUUGGUCUGAAUAGGUCAGCGGCCAAGCGAAAGCAAUUAAGCAUCCCACCUGGGGAGUACGCCGGCAACGGUGCAACUCAAAUGAAUUGACGGA
RNAcentral lists this ribosomal RNA (927 nucleotides) under uncultured Bacteroidota bacterium. Its description in RNAcentral is "bacterial SSU rRNA". It matches the Rfam family "Bacterial small subunit ribosomal RNA", at positions 1 to 917 of the family's 1533-position model. The record is from RNAcentral. Lineage: Bacteria; Pseudomonadati; Bacteroidota.